CCUUUGCAUAAUGGUUAAAUUAUAAGUAAUAAAUUUUUUAAAACCCGAAAUAAGAAGAUUUAAAUUUUAUAAUAUUUUAGUAUUUAAUUUUAAUAUAACAAAUAUUAAUAAAUAAUUAAGUUUAGGGGUGAAAUGCUUUCAAUUCUUAUGAUAUCUGGAUUUUAAUUAAAUGCAUUUAGUGCAGGCUGAGCUGAAUUUAAAAGUGUUAAGAAUUUUAAAGAUGAAUAAUUUUUAUUUUUUUAAUUGAUUUGAUUAAUCUCUUGAUUAAUUUUAUAAAUAAAAAUUAAAAUAAAUUUCUUUUUCAAAAGUAAUUAAUAAUAAUUAAUAAUAUUUUUAUUUAUUAUUAAUGUUUAAAUUAGUAGUAAUUUUAAUUAAAUCUUUUUAAGGAACUCGGCAAAUAUAUUACUUAACUGUUUAACAAAAACAUAGCUUCUUGUUUUAUAUUUUAAGUGAGUCCUGCCCAGUGAAAUUUUUUAACGGCCGCGGUACCUUGACUGUGCUAAGGUAGCAUAAUAAAUUGGCUUUUAAAUGAAGUCUUGAAUCAAUGGGUUUAUUAGGUAAGAGCUGUCUUUUAAGGAUUUUUACUAAUUUACUUAAAAGGUGAAAAUUCCUUUAUUUACUUUUUUUAGACAAGAAGACCCUUAGAGUUUUUUAAUAAAAAAUUAAUAAUUUUAAUUUUUUUGUUGGGGCGACACAGUAACAGGAAACUUACUAUGUUUUAUUUGUCGAAUUUUUUAAGAAAAAUUAAACUACCUAAGGGAUAACAGCAUAAUUAUAUUUUUGAUUGUGACCUCGAUGUUGGAUUAGGAAGUAUUAUGGCUAGACGUUAUUUUAUUUAGUUCUGUUCGAACAUAAAAAUCCUAC
RNAcentral lists this ribosomal RNA (864 nucleotides) under Tasmaphena sinclairi. Its description in RNAcentral is "partial 16S ribosomal RNA". The stretch from base 403 to 561 matches the Rfam family "Archaeal large subunit ribosomal RNA", at positions 1884 to 2089 of the family's 2987-position model. The record is from RNAcentral. Lineage: Eukaryota; Metazoa; Mollusca; Gastropoda; Stylommatophora; Rhytididae.